Molecule: ribosomal RNA, 208 nt
Filed under: uncultured bacterium
Lineage: Bacteria
Description: partial 16S ribosomal RNA
Rfam family: Bacterial small subunit ribosomal RNA
Source: RNAcentral
CGUGUAGGCGGCUUAAAAAGCUUGGUGUUAAAUACUAUAGCUCAACUAUAGGAAUGCGCUGAGAACUGGUAAGCUUGAGUUUUGGAAGGGAAACUGGAAUUCCUGGUGUAGGGGUGAAAUCUGUAGAUAUCAGGAAGAACACCGAUGGCGAAGGCAGGUUUCUGGCCAAAGACUGACGCUGAGGCGCGAAAGCGUGGGGAGCAAACAG